Long non-coding RNA from Daucus carota subsp. sativus, 4065 nucleotides. RefSeq lists it as uncharacterized. Lineage: Eukaryota; Viridiplantae; Streptophyta; Magnoliopsida; Apiales; Apiaceae. The transcript has 5 exons. The record is from RefSeq and is a predicted model, not a curated record.
UACUCGAUUACACUCGUGUAUUCUAGACCCGAGUAGCCUGAUCGUUUUCCGCUCAAUACUCCUCAUUUUCUUCGUGAUCUAUAACAGUUUCUCAGUUUGUAUAUUGUCCGUGCUUUAAUGUUUGUGUGUAUAUCAAUUGGGUUUACGAGGCACACCAUUCUUCCAAUGGAUGGUUUCCUUAAAAAACUUGGCAAGACGAAGUUGUACCUGAUCAAAGACAUUCGAUAUUUAAAGCCAGGGAUAAUCUUGUGUUUCUGAAACGCUGCUUCUUGAAUUUUCCUUUACAAUCAUAUCAUCCAUUGUUUUCUGUGUAAGAGAUUAAAAUGAUUAACCAGCUAUAUUUUCAGUGCCACAGUGGGGGGUAUACUAAACAGAGCCAUUGAAGCAGAGGGCUGAAAGCAUGGAGAUUUUAUAAGGCUGCAACACUAGGAGAAACAUUAGUAAGACAUCGGAUGAAGCCCAGAAUAUAUAUUGGAUGCAUGAAGUCUGAUCCAGUCCUUGCCCAAAAGACAUUGGACAAAACUAUAUCAAAUUAUGGAGUGGAGCUCGCUGCAGCUAGAGCAGCGCAGGAUUCUAUUUUAAGUGGUUCUCUGGAACCAACAGUUUAUAUGUAUACAGUAUUAUACCAAAUUGCCAAAUAUAGCAGCAGUUUAGGUGGACACCUGUUUAUAGCAUGUGCUGGAUGGCCAUCAAAGUAGUGUUUAGAGCCAGAAACAAGAUAUAGUCAUUGUUGGACAUGGAAUUGCAGGCCUGGCUACUACUACACAGGCUACAAAAUUCAAGAUUCUGUAUAUUCCCUUCUGCCAAGCUAGCUGGGUGAAGAAACUGGUGUGUGGAAUGUUGUUUUUGACUAAAUUUCAUAAUCAACUCGGAUGCAAGUGCGGCCCCAGUUCUUAUACAUGUUAUGUAUAAGACCUCUACUUACAAUGUAAAGAUGCUGUCCAUUUAAACCGGACAUUUGGUACUUCUACGAUGACAGUCUCACUCGAUAGUUCAGCACAUAGUAGGCUUCAGCAAUAAAGUCCAAGAUAAUAGGAAUGCAAAUCUAGCUUAAGAUGACAUUCACACAAUUAUACACUUAACAGAGUAAUCAAGUUUGCUGAAAUUGAUUAUGCGCGUCUAAAAAAAAGAUACUAGCCUCCACAUUGCUGAUGAUCUGGUAAUGGGUAUAUAACUACACAAACAAUAAUAUCCUAUUAUAAUUAUUUACUUGCUUAAAAAUUGAAUAUGGAGAUGUGGAAUUGGGGUUUGAUUUAAUUAGGGGAAGAGCGAAACUUAGCCUAAAAGAUAAUUGGAGGAGAGCGACAAGUAGUCUUAGUGUUAAAGAGAUGAUAAUCUUCUGCGCAGAGAGAGUUUCUCUCAAGAAUAUGGAUGUUCAGUUGGAGAAGCACUUGAAUAGGAAUCCGUCAAUUAACUUGAAACCAUAUUUGCCUCGGCCUAAAGAAGAUUGGGAGCUUGAUCUAUGUAAGCUGGAGAUAAAAUACUGUAAAGCUCUAGGCACUUUUGGUCCUGUAUAUAGGGGCACAUAUGAGGAAACUGAUGCUACCUUUCAAGAAUUUAUUUGUGAUUUUUUUUGGUUAUCUAACUUGUGUUUUUUUUAACCAUUCUCGCAUUCUCUUUGUAGUUUGUAAUAUGUUUUAGCUACUCUCAUACAACUGGAUGCAUUAGUUCUCUUUUUAAGAAAAUUGUCUUUCAAAGUAGUUGAGAUAAAUUGAAGUUUGCUAUUGUUUUGUAUGAUUACUAUUUAUACCUUUUUAUUUAAUUAUCUGAAAGAUCUCACCAAACUUCGUCAUUCUUAUACCACAGUGAAGCUGCUGGAUUGGGGAGAGGACGGGAACUCGGGAAGGCCAUUAGUGCAGAAACUGCAGCUGUGAUGUAAUCAUAUUUAGAGAAGGAUCAAUUACAUUUAACAUAUGGUAAAUCUAAUUUUCAACUCCUCGGUUAUAGAUAAAUAUAAGAAGUGAUAAUAUAUAUAAACUACGAUAUCAGACUUCAGCCUUCAGGACAUUAAUUCAUUAUGUAUUACUACCAUUCCCAAAUUAAUUUUUCUUCUGAAAUAAAAACUGAAUUAAAUAACAAACUGUAGAGCAAGGAGUGGUAGGGAUAGCAAGUACGACUAGGAGUCAAAUUAGUACCAAAAAUCAGUAUAGGCUGGAGGUCAUUGAUAUCACAUACCCAAUAAGCCAUUAAUAUUUAAGAUUAACCAAGACACUUGUUUGGGACAAAAUAUAUCAUCUAAGACUAAUAGUGUAACCAUGAAGGAUCAAAAUGAUUAUCAAAUUGAAGGUAGAUUGAAACAACCAAUAUUUUCCAUUAAUACCCUACAAAAAAUCUAUGCCUGACAAAAACUCUACCAGGAACUGCAUUACAUGAAAUCUUAAAUUUUAAAGUUACACAACCAUGUAAUAUUAUGCAUAUAAGCAGACAAUAUCUGCAACCAUUCGACAACUCAAACUAGACCUUUUGUGGUAAAUAGAAAGGGGUUCUCCGUUUUCUUAACUUCUCACCCGUUCAUAUUAAAAUUAAUACAUGAUACACACUACACAGAGUAUAAACUACUGAUAACAAGAAAGGAAACAACUUGGUGAUGAGACUAAAUACCGCCUUGGUUACUGUAAGAUACUUAAUUUUUAAAGUGAAGUCAAUGACUUGGAUGGAUUUGAUUCGUCCGAUUACUUAUACUGCAAAGAUGUGCUCCCACUAACAAAUGUUUAUUUAUUUAUUGUUUUUGUCAAGUAAUAAUAUAGGGUUCCAUGUUUCUGACAAUAAAUUUCUGCAACAAUCUAUCCGCGGUUUUUUACCACCGACACACUACCUAUUUUUUAUGUGAAUGCAAGGUGUCAUGUCACUUAUCUGCUCUUUAGAUACCCAUUCCGGGGUUUCUAUGUGGGUGUUUGGAUGCAUGGCUUAUGGGCUUAAAAGUCCGAAAGUCCACCUCCACUUAUUAUCUGUGCGUUUGGCAAACGCGAGGAAGUGCUUAAUUAAACGAAAAGAAGCCCACAAAAUAAGUUAGGUUUCCUAGCUUUUUUUUAGUCUCAACUUCUGCUUAUUUCUAUUUCUAACAGAAAAUGACUUCAAAAUUGCCAAACUAAUACCAACUUAUAAGUUAAGUUAUCCAAACACUUAAAAAACCUAAAGUCGCAGUAUGCAAACACUUCUGGUAGCUUAUAAGUUCAAACCAACUUCUCACUUCUAAUCCACUUUUUUACUUUAAGCAAUAAGUCAUUUCUUUUAAGCUCAGCCAAACGGCCCCUAUCUUUCCACUAUAAAUAAGCUUAGUGUUAAUUAUCCAUUAAAAGUUUUCGAUGAAUAAUCUAUUUAUCGGCAUGACUCAGGGAAUCUAUCUAUUCUAUUUGUAGCAGGAGAGCUAGGGUCUAAAAUAAUGAGAUAUUUUGUUUUAAAAAAUUGUGAGACAUCAUGUAAAAGAGCAUUUUUUAGCGCUUAUUAGUUUGUCCCCUUUAUACUUUGUCCAAUGUACAGCCAUUUAGUUUCACAUUCAGCGACGGUCUCGGUUAGGGGAGAGCAUGGGCCGGUUCGGCUCGGUUUCGGGAUAAAACCGGAACCGCAACCAUAUAUCCCCGGUUUUUAAAAUUGAAAACCGCAACCGCCGGUUCGGAUUCGGAUUCGGUUUCGGUUUUAAAAACCCGGUUCGGUUUUAAUCGGCUCGGUUUCGGUUACAAAACCGACAAUUACAAAAUUCAAAAAUAAAUUGAAGUGCGAAAUUUAGAAACAAUAAUUAAUAAAGAGUGGAUUUCAAACUUUCAACAAUAAUAAUCCUAAAAGGCUUAGAUGACAAAGUUUCAGAGCAUUACGAGCAGAGACAGUGAUUUCACUGAUUUGCAUCUUAACUUUAAUCAUCAAUAAAACAGAGAAAUGGACUCACCAACAAAACGAAACCCAUAUAAAGAAAAUUUGAUUCAGAAUAAAAAGCCAGCCAAGAAAAUUAUUAAAACAGACUGCAGACUUGUAUAAUUACUACCUCUCCUGGCAGGUUACUAAUAUGAAGUAUCAAAAUGCAGUAGACUUCAGAACUUACAUGGACAGAGAUUUACUGAUUUUCAUUAA